CAGUAGCCGCGGUAAUACGUAGGGGGCAAGCGUUAUCCGGAAUUACUGGGUGUAAAGGGAGCGUAGACGGUUAAACAAGUCUGAAGUGAAAUGCCGGGGCUCAACCCCGGAGCUGCUUUGGGAACUGUAGAACUGGAGUGUCGGAGGGGUAAGCGGAAUUCCCAGUGUAGCGGUGAAAUGCGUAGAUAUUGGGAGGGACACUGGCGGCGAAGGCGGCUUACUGGACGACAACUGACGUUGAGGCUCGAAGGCGUGGGUAGCAAACAGGAUUAGAUACCCGGGUAGUCCCUGUCUCUUAUAC
RNAcentral lists this ribosomal RNA (301 nucleotides) under uncultured bacterium. RNAcentral describes it as "partial 16S ribosomal RNA". It matches the Rfam family "Bacterial small subunit ribosomal RNA", at positions 509 to 807 of the family's 1533-position model. The record is from RNAcentral.